CCUACGGGCGGCAGCAGUAGGGAAUCUUCCACAAUGGGCGAAAGCCUGAUGCAGCAACGCCGCGUGGAUGAAGAAGGUCUUCGGAUCGUAAAACCCUGUUGUUAGAGAAGAAAGUGCUUGAGAGUAACUGUUCACGUUUCGACGGUAUCUAACAAGAAAGCCACGGCUAACUACGUGCCAGCAGCCGCGGUAAUACGUAGGUGGCAAGCGUUAUCCGGAUUUAUUGGGCGUAAAGGGAACGCAGGCGGUCUUUUAAGUCUGAUGUGAAAGCCUUCGGCUUAACCGUAGUAGUGCAUUUGAUACUGGCAGACUUGAGUGCAGAAGAGGAGAGCGGAACUCCAGGUGUAGCGGUGAAAUGCGUAGAUAUAUGGAAGAACACCAGUGGCGAAGGCGGCUCUCUGGUCUGUAACUGACGCUGAGGUUCGAAAGCGUGGGUAGCAAACAGGAUUAGAUACCCGGGUAGUC
RNAcentral lists this ribosomal RNA (465 nucleotides) under uncultured bacterium. RNAcentral describes it as "partial 16S ribosomal RNA". It matches the Rfam family "Bacterial small subunit ribosomal RNA", at positions 338 to 795 of the family's 1533-position model. The record is from RNAcentral.